AUAAGUCAGUGGUGAAAUCCCAUCGCUUAACGAUGGAACUGCCAUUGAAACUGUUAGUCUUGAAUUCGGUCGAAGUGGGCGGAAUGUGUCAUGUAGCGGUGAAAUGCAUAGAUAUUACAUAGAAUACCAAUUGCGAAGGCAGAUUACUAAUAAUAUACUGACACUGAUGGACGAAAGCGUGGGGAGCGAACAGGAUUAGAUACCCUGGUAGUCCACGCCGUAAACUAUCAAUACUCGUUUUCGGCGAUAUACAGUCGGAGACUAAGCGAAAGUGAUAAGUAUUGCACCUGGGGAGUACG
RNAcentral lists this ribosomal RNA (299 nucleotides) under Octactis speculum. Its description in RNAcentral is "partial Bacterial small subunit ribosomal RNA". It matches the Rfam family "Bacterial small subunit ribosomal RNA", at positions 583 to 884 of the family's 1533-position model. Lineage: Eukaryota; Dictyochophyceae; Dictyochales; Dictyochaceae. The record is from RNAcentral.